This 194-nucleotide small nuclear RNA is filed under the name Gigantopelta aegis. RNAcentral's name for it is "U2 spliceosomal RNA". It matches the Rfam family "U2 spliceosomal RNA". From Rfam's summary of the family: U2 is a small nuclear RNA (snRNA) component of the spliceosome (involved in pre-mRNA splicing). Complementary binding between U2 snRNA (in an area lying towards the 5' end but 3' to hairpin I) and the branchpoint sequence (BPS) of the intron results the bulging out of an unpaired adenosine, on the BPS, which initiates a nucleophilic attack at the intronic 5' splice site, thus starting the first of two transesterification reactions that mediate splicing. Lineage: Eukaryota; Metazoa; Mollusca; Gastropoda; Neomphalida; Peltospiridae. The record is from RNAcentral.
AUCGCUUCUCGGCCUUUUGGCUAAGAUCAAAGUGUAGUAUCUGUUCUUAUCAGCUUAAUAUCUGAUACGUCCUCCAUUGGGGGGACAUCGAUAUUAAACUGAUUUUUGAAAGGGGGUGAGGUGCCCGGGGCUUGCUCCGCCCUCACCACGGGUUGACCCGGUAUUGCAGUACUUCCGGGAAUGGCCCACCACUA